Ctenopharyngodon idella (grass carp) is the source of this 4821-nucleotide long non-coding RNA. RefSeq lists it as uncharacterized. The record is from RefSeq and is a predicted model, not a curated record. The transcript is spliced from 3 exons. Lineage: Eukaryota; Metazoa; Chordata; Actinopteri; Cypriniformes; Xenocyprididae.
CAGCAAUUUAUUUGCUAAUGUACAAGAGACUGAACGAGAUUAAUGUGCCGAUAUACUCACAGCGAAGUUCUUUUUCGUUCUUUGCUUAGAAGUAAAAAGAAGUUGAAAAUAUACCAAGUUUGCAGGCAUAUAUUUUAACGAACAUCCCGACGCCGCCCACGCUGCUGAGAGUGACAUUUCGAAUGCUGCGCGCUUUCCUCAAUAACAACAAGAUAAAGACGACAAAAAUGAAAGCGGCGAGAAAACAGAAGUGACAUAGCUGCCACCCAGAAUUCUUCACAAGGAGGUGGCAGAGAGGUCAAAUCAAACAGACGUCUGAAAAAGAGGCCCAGGAGGAAAUGGUAUUUAGAAGCUCAAACAGGAUGUCCCGCUGCUCGUCCUGACUGUGAACCCCCACCCAACACUGUGAAAUGGCUUAAGUUAAUCCAAGAUCCUGAAAGUAGUGCAGUUUUUUUUUUUCCACUCCCUUGUUCUUCAUCAUUUAGAAGGCUUCAGGAAAAGAAGAGGGGGACACAAUGAUUUCCUUCUGGUGUGUCUCAAACACAGACAGACUACCUGCUGUGUGAGACUAUCUCCAAGUGUGUCCUUCGUAAAUGUGAACAGUGUUUAUGUCCAGCGUUUGAUGAGGUGGACUUGAUGAUGCCCGUUGAAAAAAAACAAACAAAAAAACUUAUAUCAAAUGAAAACUAUCUGAGAUCAUAAUGUAAUGUACAUAAAUUAUAAUAGAAUUAGGUGAACUAAUUUUAUUCAACAGGAAAAUGAUUUUGACCUAAAAAGGCUUUCAAAGAGUGAAUAACUUUGCUGUGUGUUAACAGAUGGUGCCAAAAGAAAAGCUGUCUGUCUCAAAAUGUCGCUUGGGACAUUUUUUUCCCCUCAUACUUUUUGUGCCCAAACCCAUCAAAGCUCUGGUAUCUAACUUGCUGUGGUUCUUUUAAUUGGCUCAUGCCUCAGAUUUAUGAAGUAAUGAACAGGUGUUGGGUGGGAGGGACAGCAUGACAUGGAUUAUAAAAACCCCCCACCCGAUCUCUCUCACACACGUCUUUAAUUCUUCUGUAGUUCUCAUGGGCAGUUUCCCACUCUAUAUUUGUAGAUCCAACAAAUAAUCCAAUUUGUCAUGCAACAUCAGGGUAUUGUAUUGAAUUCUAAUGUCAUUUAUACUUUUCACAGAUUCAGAACCAGGUUUUACAGGUAAUUCUGGGCCAUUAAAAUACAGAAUAACCACUAAAAUUAUGUUGAAUGCAUCAAAGAUAUCAGAUUAGAUUAAAUUAUAUUAAAGAAUAAAAAGAAUAAUUUAAAAAUAUUGCUUGCACUAUAUUAGCCCAAUCUCAAAACUAUGGAAUAAAAUAAAUGAUGCCACCAAAAAUGUUAAAUUUCUUACACCAAGCUAUGUGCCUACAUGCUUACAUGCUCCUUGGUGAAUUACUCUAUUACUGGUGUGAAUCAUGUUCUUCAGUUGAGAACUGCAUACUUUCCACACAUGUCCUAUAUUGGAGAGACCGCAUGUGCUCACAACAAAAACUGACCACACAAUUGAGAUGACUUGUACUCUAAAAACGUCCAAACAACAUUCAUUCAUUACUUAGAAUACGACAAGAUAAACAUUAGACAUUUGCUCACAUCUCAAACCAAUAAGCUUUUGGAACAACUGUAGUUUGGUUGGCAUUCACUGCAGGAUGUUGGAUCCAGAGCCAGCUGCUCUCCCAUGAAUUGUGUGGAAUGGUGUUAAGUGAAGUGGCUUAGCCGUAAGCCCGUUAGAGAUGUGCUCACACUUCCCGUCCCUCAGCCUCUGUGAAUCAGUGAACAACAGAGGCUUUGUAGAGCCCGAGUCUGAAACCAAACAGCCGAGUUUAGCAGUACAGUCAUUUGAAGCAAUUACGAUUAGCUCCAAUCACUUCCUCCUGAAUAAUCAUACACUGGAGCGCCUGAACUCCUCAAAUAAGUCUUACCCCUGGUUUCACAGACAAUGUUUAAGCCUAGUCCUACGCUAAAUGUAUGUUUGAGCUGUUUUAACUGAGGAAACUUGCACUGACAUAUCUUAAGAUACACUAUGUCGUCAAAAGUAUUGGGACACCCCUCCAAAUCAUUGAAUUCAGGUGUUCCAAUCACUUCCAUGACCACAGGUGUAUAAAAUCAAGCACCUAGGCAUGCAGACUGCUUCUACAAACAUUUGUGAAAGAAUGGGUCGCUCUCAGGAGCUCAGUGAAUUCAAGUGUGGUACCGUGAUAGGUUGCCACCUGUGCAAUAAGUCCAUUCGUGAAAUUUCCUCACUACUAAAUAUUCCACGGUCAACUGUUAGUGGUAUCAUAACAAAGUGGAAGCAAUUGGGAACAACAGCAACUCAACCACGAAGUGGUAGGCCACGUAAAAUCACAGAGCGGGGUCAGCGCAUGCUGAGGCGCACAGUGCGCAGAAGUCGCCAACUUUCUGCAGAGUCAAUAGCUACAGACCUCCAAACUUCAUGUGGCCUUAAGAUUAUCUCAGGAACAGUGCAUAGGGAGCUUCAUGGAAUCCAUUCAUGCAUCCAAGCAUUACAUCAACAAGUGCAAUGCAAAGCGUUGAAUGCAGUGGUGUAAAGCACGCUGCCACUGGACUCUAGAGCAGUGGAGACGUGUUCUCUGGAGUGACGAAUCACGCUUCUCUGUCUGGCAAUCUGAUGGACGAAUCUGGGUUUGGUGGUUGCCAGGAGAACGGCACUUGCCUGACUGCACUGUGCCAAGUGUAAAGUUUGGUGGAGGGGGGAUUAUGGUGUGGGGUUGUUUUUCAGGGGUUUGGCUUGGCCCCUUAGUUCCACUGAAAGGAACUCUUAAUGCUUCAGCAUACCAAGACAUUUUGGACAAUUUCAUGCUCCCAACUUUGUGGGAACAGUUUGGGGAUGGCCCCUUCCUGUUCCAACAUGACUGCGCACCAGUGCACAAAGCAAGGUCCAUAAAGACAUGGAUGAGCGAGUUUGGUGUGGAGGAACUUGACUGGCCUGCACAGAGUCCUGACCUCAACCCGAUAGAAUACCUUUGGAAUGAAUUAGCGGAGACUGUGAGCCAGGCCUUCUCGCCAACAUCACUGCCUGACCUCACGAAUGCGCCUCUAGAAGAAUGGUCAAAAAUUCCCAUAAACACACUCCUAAACCUUGUGGAAAGCCUUCCCAGAAGAGUUGAGGCUGUUAUAGCUGCAAAGGGUGGGCCAACUCCAUAUAAAACCCUACAGAUUAAGAAUGGCAUGUCAUUAAAGUUCAUGUGCACAUAAAGGCAGGUGUCCCAAAACUUUUGGCAAUAUAGUGUAUGUCAGUGCCAUUGUUUUGUCUCAAGAUGCACAUCAGUAAUGUUUUCAAGAGUUUUUUCUAAGUUUGUCCAGGCAGUGUUGGAGCCACUUCAAAGGUCUGGCAUGAAAGUGUUGCCAUACCUGGACGACUGGCUUGUCUGUGCAGCAUCACCUCAGCAAGCAGUGGAUCAAGUGUGUCAUCUGUUGGACCAUAUUGUGGAUUUAGGAAUUACUGUGAAUUGGGACAAAUGCAAGCUUGUCCCAAUGCAGUUGACCAAUUUCAUAGGUCUUGCUCUGUCACAAUGUUGGCUGUUCCAACUCCAGAGAGAAUAAGGUCAAUUCUAAGGGCUGUAAGGCAUUUUCAGGUUGGCCACACUCAGCACCACUUUGCUCUCCUGAGACUCUUGGGGAAGCUCACAGCAGGAUCAACAGUAGUGCCACUGGGACUGUUGUGGCUCAGACCAUUCCAAUGAUGGCUCAUUCAAAAAUGUUUGUAUCCAAUAUGAGACCGAUGCACAAAAAUCAGAGUCACACAUUGUUGCAAGCCUAGGGCUCGCAUUGGUCACAGGAGUUUCUCAGAGGAGUACCAUUGGGACCUCCACCCUGGGGGUCUGGCUGAAAGGGGAGUGAAAGGCACUUGGGGAGGGGCUCUGCGCACAUCAAUGUCCUAGAGUUGACAGCGGUGUUUCUUACCCUUCCUCAUUUCCAAACUGUUCUCAGGGGAAAACAUGUUUUGGUACACAGGCAACAGGGUGACCAUGUUUUUUAUAUUAAUCAUCAGGGGCCAGUUGUUCAAAAGUAUUCUGAUCGGGUUGGAUCAAAUCUUGAAAAUGGGUUGUUCAAAAGAAAAAAAGGAUUUUGAAAUCAGAUUAGAUCACAAAAUCCAAUCUUGGUUUUGAUAUGGAUCAAAUCAUCAGUUUGUGUUGUUCAAAACUUUUUAAUAAAAUUUUUUAUCCAAAAAAUUAGGAUUGUACUGAUCCCAGCAGAAGGGUGUAUUUCAGGAGCAAAAAUGUAAUAAAACUUUAAAAAUGGUAAAAAAAAAUUACAACAUUUGUAUCAUAAUAUACACACACAUUUUUUUUAUUUCACUCUUGAUUAGUUUUAACUGUUAAAGUAAUAAAUUAAAAGUGGACAUUAUACCUAUUAAGCCUUUUGGUAGCCUACAGUAAAGUAAAAAAGAGAUUUUGGCAUCAUAAAAUAAUCCCCAAACAGUAAAUAUCGAAGAAAAAAAAAUACAAAAGCAUUGAAAUAUUCCCCCUUAAACUUUUUGAACAACUGGCCCCAGGCUAAAUAUUGAGCCUUUCAGUGGCCUACAGUAAAGUAAAAAAAGAGAUUUUGGUUCUAUAAAAGAAUCCCAAAACAGCUCUAUUAUCAAACAAAUAUAUCAAACAAAAAUAUAUUUCAUUCAAACUGUUUUUUUUAAUCACUGUUUGUAAACUAUAUUGGCACAAUCAUAAGAGAUGAACCAGUCAAAAGUUUUUUGCGAGCGAACGCAAAGUUUCUUGGGUGAACGCUAUGCAAAACUUCUGAGACAACGAAAAAACAUUGAAAAAUGGUCUCCAUAGA